GACGAACGCUGGCGGCGUGCCUAAUACAUGCAAGUAGAACGCUGAAGAGAGGAGCUUGCUCUUCUUGGAUGAGUUGCGAACGGGUGAGUAACGCGUAGGUAACCUGCCUGGUAGCGGGGGAUAACUAUUGGAAACGAUAGCUAAUACCGCAUAAAAUUGAUUAUUGCAUGAUAAUUAAUUGAAAGAUGCAACUGCAUCACUACCAGAUGGACCUGCGUUGUAUUAGCUAGUUGGUGAGGUAACGGCUCACCAAGGCGACGAUACAUGGCCGACCUGAGAGGGUGAUCGGCCACACUGGGACUGAGACACGGCCCAGACUCCUACGGGAGGCAGCAGUAGGGAAUCUUCGGCAAUGGGGUGAACCCUGACCGAGCAACGCCGCAUGAGUGAAGAAGGUUUUCGGAUCGUAAAGCUCUGUUGUAAGAGAAGAACGGGUGUGAGAGUGGAAAGUUCACACUGUGACGGUAUCUUACCAGAAAGGGACGGCUAACUACGUG
This 497-nucleotide ribosomal RNA is filed under the name uncultured bacterium. RNAcentral describes it as "partial 16S ribosomal RNA". It matches the Rfam family "Bacterial small subunit ribosomal RNA", at positions 28 to 507 of the family's 1533-position model. The record is from RNAcentral.